Long non-coding RNA from Ictalurus punctatus (channel catfish), 2421 nucleotides. NCBI's taxonomy places the organism in Eukaryota, Metazoa, Chordata, Actinopteri, Siluriformes, Ictaluridae. The record is from Ensembl.
GGAUGGUAUCGAUCAAGGUUUUCCACACAGGAGAACCCUCAGGGCUUCUUGCAAAACGUGCAGCAGGGUGUUAGGAACCUCCACCACAAAUGAAAAUGGAAACACACGUCUCGCAAGUUCACCUUCAGAUCUUCACAGUCCGUUGUAUGUCCAAUGUGAUUUGAAGGAUUUCCCUCCACAAUUCCUUAUCGGACCAAAGUCGAAUGCUAUUGUGUCUCUAUCGGAAAAGUUAUACUUCAAACCUUAAAAUCAAACACAUGGUCUUUACUUUGGGAUAAGACUGCUGUUUAAGGCCAGUGAGUAGAGCUCCUGACAGCUGAACACCAGUGCGUGUCCGAAGCCGCAUUCCCAAACUGUUGGAAUUCUUUAUUUGUCCUCGACCCAGACGCCGAAAGCUCUUCAAACAGGAUACGGAGGUAGAUGGCAAAGGAGAUUUGAAGUGAUAGCCCAUUUUAGAGAAGAGAAAGGCCCUAAUUGUCUCCGCUCCCCACAGCUCCCUCCCUGCGACAGCCUCGCAUGCCACUGGAGAAAGAAAAGGAGAAGAAAGCGGCUGAGAGAGAUAGAGUACGAGAAGAAAAAAAACGAGCAAGGGAGAGCGAGAGAGCUGGAGAGGACAGUUUCGCUGUGCAGCUGCUCCCGUGGAUGUUUUUGGAUUACAUCAGUGCUCUGCCAAAGAAAGGAGCGAAGGACAGAUAGACAAGGGAUCAGAGAGAGAAGGGAGCGGGGCACACUCCACAAAUCAGGGCUCUUAGUUUGGGAGGGGGGCCCCGGCUCGGUUCUUGGAGUUCUCUCGGACAGAGCUGUCAUUGUUAGAAGGUUGAAGUGGGUAAAGCCAGGGCUGAAUAGUGCAGCAGGCCCCCCUCGUCACCACCGUGCCCCCCCAUCUACAUCCUGACAACACAGCAGCAGCAACUCAACCUUGCCCUGUCAGCUGCCUGCGCCUGAGCCCCACGCCACGGCCCCGCGCCUGAGCUUGGCAUGCAGCUGAGAUUACAUUGCUCUGGGCACACACUCCUGCUUCGUCUUUGGAAUUAAUACUUACACAUCUCUGUUUGGGCAGCAGGCACAAGGCAUUGAGGCUGUCAAACAGAAAGAGAGAAAAGGGGGGACCAAGAAAUAUACAGAAGAGUGUAAAAGGGCUUUUUGUUGCUUUUAAACAUCAUUAGGUUUCACUUUCUAGUGUAGUUUCAAAAUGUUUUCAGGUGUUCUGGUGGUGGUUUUGGUUCUAUUACUGCUGUUUCGCAGGGUUUUAUGGCAUGUUAUCUGUCUUUUCAUUGGUGAUAAACUGUUCAGGAAAAAGCCAAGAGCCAGGAGAGAGAGGGACUUGUCAGAGUAGAAGUCACUUUGAGGACAGUAUGUUUUUUUUUAAUGCAUCAUCUUGAAUGUAAUUUAGGACAAAUUUGAGCAAAAGUUUAAUUUUUCCAUUCACAAUCUUUUUGAAUACUCCUACUAAUCAUCAUCAUCAUCCCCCCAGGUGGGCACACAGUGGCUUAGUGGUUAGCAUGUUUGCCUCACACCGACAGGGUUGGGGGUUCGAUUCCCGCCGCUACCCUGUGUGUGCAGUGUUUGCAUGUUCUCCCCGUGCUGUGGGGGUUUCCUCUGGGUACUCUGGUUUCCUCCCCCAGUCCAAAGACAUGCAGGGUAGGCUGUUUGGCAUGUACAAAGUGUCCACUGUGUAUAAGUGGGUGUUUGACUGUGUAUGUAUGCCCUGCGAUGGAUUGGCAACCUGUCCAGGGUGUACCCUGCCUUAUGCCCGGCUCCAGGUUCCCCACAACACUGAAGGAUAAGCUGUAUAGAAGAUGGAUGGAUCAUCACAGAUUGUGAUUUCAUGUUGCUUAAUAAUUUGUACACCUUUUAAACAAUCAGAUGAAAUGAUGAAACAAGCCACUGAGAUUAAAGGCUGAUGUGGUUCCCAGAAACAUUUAGAGAUGGCUUCCUUAAUGAACUCACUUUAGUGGUAAAGAUAAUGGUUAAAUAAAUCACUGAGAAUAUAACAAAAAAGCAUAUCAAAACGUGUAUUUGAUAUGGGCUGGUUUACUAGCAGUUAGAUAGUCUGCUAGCUAAAUUAGCAACUAUUUGUUUUAUUUUUAUAUGUGGAAUGACAGAACGACACAGGAUUUUUCCAAUAUUCAUAUUCAUACAUCCUGGCAUUUUAAUUUUAAUAGGAGCUCAUUUGUCAUUAGGUUGUUUUUGUAGCUUAUUAUUAGGAAUACAUAAUUCUACACAGAAUAAUACAAUUUAUUGACUCUAUAAUAAUUUAUAUUGUACUCAUGGGUGUUUUAAAAUACAUCUUAUAUCUCUUGAAGCUCACUCUGUCACAAGUCCUGAAGUCUUGCUGUCUUAUAUGUGUGAUAUGCUUUAAAUGCAAAUCAUUGUAAUUUCUUGUUGGCACUAAAUAAAUAAUAAUAAAUGCAUUUAAAA